GGUGCAGCUCAGUGGUGAAGCGCUUGCUUACCAAGAGCAAGGCCCUGGGUUCCAUCCCCAGUGCAACA
Molecule: transfer RNA, 68 nt
Filed under: Marmota monax (woodchuck)
Lineage: Eukaryota; Metazoa; Chordata; Mammalia; Rodentia; Sciuridae
Description: tRNA.Gly
Source: RNAcentral